AAUAAAGCUCAAAGAUAAUAGCUUAAAUAUAUAAAAAUUUGAGAGAAAAAAAUUAUAUAAAAAGAUAUGAAUUUCUAAAGUUUGAAAAGAAGAAAUCCUUUGUGGAAAAAAUAUGUUUUGAGGUAUUUUUCUACAAUUUGGGCAUUUUAUAUAAAGAUAAUAGGUUUUGAGAGCUAAGACUUUGUAUAUAAGUUAAAAGUGGAAUAAAUCACUUAUUAGACCUUAGCUAA
Molecule: long non-coding RNA, 230 nt
Filed under: Physcomitrium patens
Lineage: Eukaryota; Viridiplantae; Streptophyta; Bryopsida; Funariales; Funariaceae
Description: long non-coding RNA (PPAT_LNC013736)
Source: RNAcentral